This 328-nucleotide ribosomal RNA is filed under the name uncultured eukaryote. RNAcentral describes it as "partial 18S ribosomal RNA". It matches the Rfam family "Eukaryotic small subunit ribosomal RNA", at positions 1470 to 1796 of the family's 1831-position model. The record is from RNAcentral.
CCCUUAGAUGUCCGGGGCUGCACGCGCGCUACACUGAAGGAAUCAGCGUGCUAAAACCAUUGUCGAAAGGCAUUGGUAAACCCAUUAAAAUCCUACGUGAUUGGGAUCGGGAAUUGCAAUUAUUUCCCUUGAACGAGGAAUUCCCAGUAAGUGUGGGUCAUAAGCUCGCGUUGAUUACGUCCCCGCCCUUUGUACACACCGCCCGUCGCUGCCCGGGACUGAGCCGUUUCGAGAAAAGCGGGGACUGCUGCUGUCGGGGCUUUCGGGCCUUGGCUUCGGUGGAAACCGCUUUAAUCGCAGUGGCUUGAACCGGGCAAAAGUCGUAACA